AGAGUUUGAUCCUGGCUCAGAACGUACGCUGGCGGCACGCCUAAUACAUGCAAGUCGAACGAAGUAGCAAUACUUAGUGGCAGACGGGUGAGUAACAUGUGGGUAUCUUCCCUUUGGUGAGGAAUAACACGAGGAAACUUGUGCUAAUACCUCAUAAGUCUUUACAGAGAAAGCUUUAUGCGCCAUUGGAUGAGCCCGCACUUGAUUAGUUUGUUGGUGGGGUAAUGGCCUACCAAGACAAUGAUCAAUAGCUGAUUUGAGAGGAUGAUCAGCCACAUUGGGACUGAGACACGGCCCAAACUCCUACGGGAGGCAGCAGUAGGGAAUCUUGCACAAUGGAGGAAACUCUGAUGCAGCGAUGCCGCGUGAGUGAAGAAGGCCUUUGGGUUGUAAAGCUCUUUCGUCGGGGAAGAAAAUGACUGUACCCGAAUAAGAAGGUCCGGCUAACUUCGUGCCAGCAGCCGCGGUAAUACGAAGGGACCUAGCGUAGUUCGGAAUUACUGGGCUUAAAGAGUUCGUAGGUGGUUAAAAAAGUUGAUGGUGAAAUCCCAGAGCUUAACUCUGGAACUGCCAUCAAAACUUUUUAGCUAGAGUAUGAUAGAGGAAAGCAGAAUUUCUAGUGUAGAGGUGAAAUUCGUAGAUAUUAGAAAGAAUACCAAUGGCGAAGGCAGCUUUCUGGACCAAUACUGACGCUGAGGUACGAAAGCGUGGGUAGCAAACAGGAUUAGAUACCCUGGUAGUCCACGCCGUAAACGAUGAUAACUAGCCGUUGGGGGGAUUUACCCCUUAGUGGCGAAGCUAACGCGUUAAGUUAUCCGCCUGGGGAGUACGGCCGCAAGGCUAAAACUCAAAGGAAUUGACGGGGACCCGCACAAGCGGUGGAGCAUGUGGUUUAAUUCGAUGCAACGCGAAGAACCUUACCUGGUCUUGACAUCCUGCGAACUUUCUAGAAAUAGAUUGGUGCCUUCGGGAACGCAGUGACAGGUGCUGCAUGGCUGUCGUCAGCUCGUGUCGUGAGAUGUUGGGUUAAGUCCCGUAACGAGCGCAACCCCUAUCCUUAUUUGCCAGCACAUUAUGGUGGGAACUAUAAGGAGACUGCCGGUGAUAAACCGGAGGAAGGCGGGGACGACGUCAAGUCAUCAUGGCCCUUACGACCAGGGCUACACACGUGCUACAAUGGGAAGGACAAAGAGCCGCGAAGCCGCGAGGUGUAGCUAAUCUCAGAAAUCUUUUCGUAGUCCGGAUUGGAGUCUGCAACUCGACUCCAUGAAGUCGGAAUCGCUAGUAAUCGUAGAUCAGAAUGCUACGGUGAAUACGUUCCCGGGUCUUGUACACACCGCCCGUCAUACCAUGGGAGUGGGUUGCACCAGAAGUGGCUAGUCUAACUUUGUGAGGACGGUCACCACGGUGUGAUUCAUGACUGGGGUAAAGUCGUAACAAGGUAACC
RNAcentral lists this ribosomal RNA (1447 nucleotides) under uncultured bacterium. Its description in RNAcentral is "partial 16S ribosomal RNA". It matches the Rfam family "Bacterial small subunit ribosomal RNA". The record is from RNAcentral.